RNAcentral lists this long non-coding RNA (214 nucleotides) under Mytilus galloprovincialis (Mediterranean mussel). The record is from RNAcentral. Lineage: Eukaryota; Metazoa; Mollusca; Bivalvia; Mytilida; Mytilidae.
GUGCAAAAAGGUAAUAUUUACACUUUUCAGAUCAUCUCUUGACUUGCCUAUAGGGGUAUGGAUGUGUAUUGGCCAAAUUUGUAUGAUGUAUUUUUGGACUUGUACUGUACAUUACACACACAAAAAAUUAGACAAAAAGAAUAGGCAAAACUUUUUUAAUGCGAAAAAACGUUAUAAAGAAAUGAUAGAGGAAUUAAUUGUGGUCUUGGGCCAU